This 482-nucleotide long non-coding RNA is filed under the name Crocodylus porosus (Australian saltwater crocodile). RNAcentral's name for it is "lncRNA (ENSCPRG00005012205.1)". Lineage: Eukaryota; Metazoa; Chordata; Crocodylia; Crocodylidae. The record is from RNAcentral.
UAGAUUUGAAUGCUGUCCAGAGAGUUUACAGCCUGUACUUUUCAAAGAACAGUCAAAUUUUCUGAUUAACAUCUUCAGCAGAUAAUGAAGAUCAGCUGUAUUUCAGAUUCCUGCCCUCAAAAAGCACUCAGUCUCCACUCCUUGUCCACUGUUUCAUGGAGGAAACAUUCUUCUCUCUCCACAUCCCCACCCCCAUCUCACCUGGAUUACUUGUAUGUGCUGAUGACACAAUUGGGACCAGAAGUCUUCUGUUGGGUUUGCUGUAGGUUAUAUAUUCACCACUAGUUAUGUGUCUAGCUUUAAAGGGCCUAGAAAGCAAAACCAAAUUAAAAUGACUCAACCUACCAGCAGAGGAAAUUUAGGGUGAAAAUUAGGAAAUUUCUGACUAUGAGCAUAUUCAAGCAUUGGAACAGGCUACCUAGAGAAGUUGUGGAAUUGCCAUCCCUGGACAUUUUCAAGAGCAGGUGAGAUGCAUUUGGCUG